RNAcentral lists this ribosomal RNA (498 nucleotides) under uncultured bacterium. Its description in RNAcentral is "bacterial SSU rRNA". It matches the Rfam family "Bacterial small subunit ribosomal RNA", at positions 28 to 513 of the family's 1533-position model. The record is from RNAcentral.
GAUGAACGCUAGCUACAGGCUUAACACAUGCAAGUCGAGGGGAAACGAUAUUGGAAGCUUGCUUCUGAUAGGCGUCGACCGGCGCACGGGUGAGUAACGCGUAUCCAACCUGCCCAUCACUUGGGGAUAACCUUGCGAAAGUAAGACUAAUACCCAAUGACGUCUCUAGAAGACAUCUGAAAGAGAUUAAAGAUUUAUCGGUGAUGGAUGGGGAUGCGUCUGAUUAGCUUGUUGGCGGGGUAACGGCCCACCAAGGCGACGAUCAGUAGGGGUUCUGAGAGGAAGGUCCCCCCACAUUGGAACUGAGACACGGUCCAAACUCCUACGGGAGGCAGCAGUGAGGAAUAUUGGUCAAUGGACGAGAGUCUGAACCAGCCAAGUAGCGUGCAGGAUGACGGCCCUAUGGGUUGUAAACUGCUUUAUAAGGGAAUAAAGUGAGUCUCGUGAGACUUUUUGCAUGUACCUUAUGAAUAAGGACCGGCUAAUUCCGUGCCAGCA